Long non-coding RNA from Brassica napus (rape), 1295 nucleotides. RefSeq lists it as uncharacterized. Lineage: Eukaryota; Viridiplantae; Streptophyta; Magnoliopsida; Brassicales; Brassicaceae. The record is from RefSeq and is a predicted model, not a curated record. The transcript has 4 exons.
CAUCAAACAAACAGCUUAACAUCAACCCUUAAGAGAGAGAGAGAGAAGGGGUAUAAAAGUGAAAUGAUACUUUUCUUCUCAAGACUUUCCAACACUUCUUUCAUUACAUCCACAUUCUUACGUGGGGCAACACCUUUGUCAUAAAACUCUAGUCGUUCCUCCACAUCAUCCCAUAGAUGCUUUGCCAGCUUCAACGACCUCUUUUGCCUUAUCUUCAUCCCCGAGGAUAUCAGUAAGCAUAGGGAUGUGCUCUUCGGACAACUUUGACUUGUCCUUAAUAACUUUUGAAACUCGGGCGCAAAGGUAGUUGUCGUUGACUAUUUUAACUAGCUCAGGGAAGUGCCACGAGUACAAUUCUCUGCCAAAAAACACAACAUAAGAGCAGCAUUAUCGGGAGCUUUUAAAAGCGUCUCUUAUAUUUAUUAGGAUUUAAAAAAAAUGAAAAAUCUCAAUAAACCUAAAGACGUAUCUUAUUCAGGGACAAGAAGAGACCGUCUCUUGUGAUUCUUCUUCCUCCCUCUUCACCUUCUCCAGAACUUCAUCUCACUUCUCCUCUAGAUUCAAACCUUCUCGAAACCGCAGCAGAGGCCGAGCAAAAGGUCUGUUCCUACUGAUUUCAUUGUGAUCGUGUUAAAAUAAUCUGCCGCCGCCGUCCUUGGUCUCCAAAGCUAGAACCGCCUUCAAUUCCGCUGCUGCUAAAGCGGAGCGCGUCUUCACUGAUCUCAAAUCCGAUCCAGAAUCGUCGAAGAGGAGGAGGAGCAGCAGCAAUCAACUAGGAAAGCAAAGCAAGAAUUUCAGGCUGGGAAGCCUCUUGGUUACAAAGAAUGUCAGUUUCACAGUCAUCAAGGACUUCAUGAUUCAAAGUGGUGAUUUUCUUAAGCAUUUGAACAACUCAUGGCUCCCUCUCACAAUAUUCCACUUCGUAGUCUCACCUCCACUGAUGAAUCCAAACUUGACUUCAAUGCUCUGUCUUUGAGCAUUUCCUUCCAUGGGUGGAGAGAGGCGAACUCAGCUUUCAAGUCUUGGGCUAUAAAAAUGUCAUCUUUACACAGACCCACAUGGAGAAAAGCUGAGAUCUUCGAAGCAGUCAUGGCAUCUACCAAAGGACUCAACAAAGACACAAAGAAACCAAGAGCUACUGGUUAGUUCAAUAUCAUUGAUCAAUUUGAAGUUUUUUUAUUGUGCAUUAUGGUAAAGUUUGUUGUAAUGAAAGUGUUUUAUAAUUUUUUUUUAAGAUCCCAUAAUUAAGAAACUUGCAAUAAACCACUUAAAUGUUCAAAUCUCUUUCUAAGUCU